CGAAUGCUGACAUAAGUAACGAUAAAGCGGGUGAAAAGCCCGCUCGCCGGAAGACCAAGGGUUCCUGUCCAACGUUAAUCGGGGCAGGGUGAGUCGACCCCUAAGGCGAGGCCGAAAGGCGUAGUCGAUGGGAAACAGGUUAAUAUUCCUGUACUUGGUGUUACUGCGAAGGGGGGACGGAGAAGGCUAUGUUGGCCGGGCGACGGUUGUCCCGGUUUAAGCGUGUAGGCUGAUUUUCCAGGCAAAUCCGGAAAAUCAAGGCUGAGGCGUGAUGACGAGGCACUACGGUGCUGAAGCAACAAAUGCCCUGCUUCCAGGAAAAGCCUCUAAGCAUCAGGUAACAUCAAAUCGUACCCCAAACCGACACAGGUGGUCAGGUAGAGAAUACCAAGGCGCUUGAGAGAACUCGGGUGAAGGAACUAGGCAAAAUGGUGCCGUAACUUCGGGAGAAGGCACGCUGAUAUGUAGGUGAAGCGACUUGCUCGUGGAGCUGAAAUCAGUCGAAGAUACCAGCUGGCUGCAACUGUUUAUUAAAAACACAGCACUGUGCAAACACGAAAGUGGACGUAUACGGUGUGACGCCUGCCCGGUGCCGGAAGGUUAAUUGAUGGGGUUAGCGGUAACGCGAAGCUCUUGAUCGAAGCCCCGGUAAACGGCGGCCGUAACUAUAACGGUCCUAAGGUAGCGAAAUUCCUUGUCGGGUAAGUUCCGACCUGCACGAAUGGCGUAAUGAUGGCCAGGCUGUCUCCACCCGAGACUCAGUGAAAUUGAACUCGCUGUGAAGAUGCAGUGUACCCGCGGCAAGACGGAAAGACCCCGUGAACCUUUACUAUAGCUUGACACUGAACAUUGAGCCUUGAUGUGUAGGAUAGGUGGGAGGCUUUGAAGUGUGGACGCCAGUCUGCAUGGAGCCGACCUUGAAAUACCACCCUUUAAUGUUUGAUGUUCUAACGUUGGCCCGUUAUCCGGGUUGCGGACAGUGUCUGGUGGGUAGUUUGACUGGGGCGGUCUCCUCCUAAAGAGUAACGGAGGAGCACGAAGGUUGGCUAAUCCUGGUCGGACAUCAGGAGGUUAGUGCAAUGGCAUAAGCCAGCUUGACUGCGAGCGUGACGGCGCGAGCAGGUGCGAAAGCAGGUCAUAGUGAUCCGGUGGUUCUGAAUGGAAGGGCCAUCGCUCAACGGAUAAAAGGUACUCCGGGGAUAACAGGCUGAUACCGCCCAAGAGUUCAUAUCGACGGCGGUGUUUGGCACCUCGAUGUCGGCUCAUCACAUCCUGGGGCUGAAGUAGGUCCCAAGGGUAUGGCUGUUCGCCAUUUAAAGUGGUACGCGAGCUGGGUUUAGAACGUCGUGAG
This 1351-nucleotide ribosomal RNA is filed under the name Escherichia coli. RNAcentral describes it as "partial 23S ribosomal RNA". It matches the Rfam family "Bacterial large subunit ribosomal RNA", at positions 1291 to 2625 of the family's 2925-position model. Lineage: Bacteria; Pseudomonadati; Pseudomonadota; Gammaproteobacteria; Enterobacterales; Enterobacteriaceae. The record is from RNAcentral.